AACCUAGACCCAGCUCCAGCGACUGGCAGAAUUUAUGCCAGUUCACUGGCAAGGAGACACCGGCAAGCAGACGGGAAGACAAGUCAGCCUGGAGUUCAAGGGCUGAGAGUCUGGUAGUUGCAGGCUGAGCAGCUGGGUACCUCACCAAUCCCAACCUGGAACUGAAAACCUGGAGGCUUCCUGGAGAGUUGCUGCCCUUCAGACACUGGUGGAAAAUGGGAAUACUGGCUCUGGUAUCGGGAAGGAAGCAGCAGCAAUGGGAUGAAUCAACUCAGCGGCAAGAAGGAAGGCCAGUCAAGUAAAAGCCUCUUCCGUGUUUGAAAUAGAAGUCUCGCUUUCUCACCCACGGUGCUCUGGACUUGUUGGCUGCGAGUCUUCAGUAGGUUGCCAAAGGAAAAGUGGGGACACUGUUCCCUAGUCAUCCCACGGGCCUUAAUCUAUGAGAGGAGAUUAGAUACCAAGGCCGCUUCUCUUCAGAAACAUCUUCAGCACAAUACACAAGCCUUUGUGGAGAGGCACUGCCAAGCGGGAGCCCGUACAGUGGGG
Long non-coding RNA from Microtus ochrogaster (prairie vole), 546 nucleotides. RefSeq lists it as uncharacterized. The record is from RefSeq and is a predicted model, not a curated record. Lineage: Eukaryota; Metazoa; Chordata; Mammalia; Rodentia; Cricetidae.